UGGGCAGUAUCCACUGAGAACUGCACCUUUAUGAAACUAACAAUUAAAAAGGUUUCUGCCUAGAUCCGUGUAGCGGACCGGGACAGAGGG
Bacillus sp. OV166 is the source of this 90-nucleotide non-coding RNA. NCBI's taxonomy places the organism in Bacteria, Bacillati, Bacillota, Bacilli, Caryophanales, Bacillaceae. The record is from Rfam.